This 247-nucleotide ribosomal RNA is filed under the name uncultured bacterium. RNAcentral describes it as "partial 16S ribosomal RNA". It matches the Rfam family "Bacterial small subunit ribosomal RNA", at positions 523 to 769 of the family's 1533-position model. The record is from RNAcentral.
AUACGUAGGGGGCAAGCGUUGUCCGGAAUUACUGGGCGUAAAGGGAGCGCAGGCGGUCUUUUAAGUAGGAUGUGAAAUACCCGGGCUUAACCUGGGGGGUGCAUCCUAAACUGGGGGACUUGAGUGUGGGAGAGGAAAGUGGAAUUCCUAGUGUAGCGGUGAAAUGCGUAGAUAUUAGGAGGAACACCAGUGGCGAAGGCGACUUUCUGGACCAUAACUGACGCUGAGGCUCGAAAGCGUGGGGAGC